GACGAACGCUGGCGGCGUGCUUAACACAUGCAAGUCUACGAGAAAGGGGUAACAAUAUCCCGAGUAAAGUGGCGCACGGGUGAGUAACACGUAAGUAAUCUACCUUUAGGUUCGGAAUAACCCAGAGAAUCUGGGCUAAUACCGGAUGAUGCAGCGGAUCCACAUGGAUAUGUUGUUAAAGUCUAUACGACGCCUAAAGAUGAGCUUGCGGCCGAUUAGCUAGUUGGUAGGGUAACGGCCUACCAAGGCAACGAUCGGUAGUUGGUCUGAGAGGAUGAUCAGCCGGACUGGGACUGUGACACGGCCCAGACUCCUACGGGAGCAGCAUG
Molecule: ribosomal RNA, 329 nt
Filed under: uncultured bacterium
Lineage: Bacteria
Description: bacterial SSU rRNA
Rfam family: Bacterial small subunit ribosomal RNA
Source: RNAcentral